AGAACGAACGCUGGCGGCAUGCCUAACACAUGCAAGUCGAACGAGACCUUCGGGUCUAGUGGCGCACGGGUGCGUAACGCGUGGGAAUCUGCCCUUGGGUUCGGAAUAACAGCGAGAAAUUGCUGCUAAUACCGGAUGAUGACGUAAGUCCAAAGAUUUAUCGCCCAAGGAUGAGCCCGCGUAGGAUUAGCUUGUUGGUGAGGUAAGAGCUCACCAAGGCGACGAUCCUUAGCUGGUCUGAGAGGAUGAUCAGCCACACUGGGACUGAGACACGGCCCAGACUCCGUACGGGACGGCAGCGAGGUGGGGAAUAGUUGGAACAAGUAGGGACGAAAGCCUAGAUCCAGCAAUGCCGCGUGAGUGAUUGAACGGUCCCGUAAGGGUUACGUAACGGUC
RNAcentral lists this ribosomal RNA (396 nucleotides) under uncultured soil bacterium. Its description in RNAcentral is "bacterial SSU rRNA". It matches the Rfam family "Bacterial small subunit ribosomal RNA", at positions 26 to 433 of the family's 1533-position model. The record is from RNAcentral.